GAUGAACGCUGGCGGCGUGCCUAAUACAUGCAAGUCGAGCGAACAGACGAGGAGCUUGCUCCUCUGACGUUAGCGGCGGACGGGUGAGUAACACGUGGAUAACCUACCUAUAAGACUGGGAUAACUUCGGGAAACCGGAGCUAAUACCGGAUAAUAUAUUGAACCGCAUGGUUCAAUAGUGAAAGACGGUUUUGCUGUCACUUAUAGAUGGAUCCGCGCCGCAUUAGCUAGUUGGUAAGGUAACGGCUUACCAAGGCAACGAUGCGUAGCCGACCUGAGAGGGGGAGAGGCCACCCGGGAGCGGAACCAGGCACAGGCCGCCGAGGGGAGGAGGCAGAAGGGAACUUUCGGCAGAGGGCGAAAGCCUGACGGGACAGGCCGAGGGGAGGGACAAGGUUGUUCGGAUCGUAAAGAUGUGUUAUGGGGAAGAAACAAAUGUGAAAGUAAAUAUACACUUCUGGACGGUAACUAAUAAAAAAGCAACGGCUAACUACGGG
This 497-nucleotide ribosomal RNA is filed under the name uncultured bacterium. Its description in RNAcentral is "partial 16S ribosomal RNA". It matches the Rfam family "Bacterial small subunit ribosomal RNA", at positions 28 to 507 of the family's 1533-position model. The record is from RNAcentral.